Non-coding RNA from Lolium perenne, 780 nucleotides. The record is from RefSeq and is a predicted model, not a curated record. Lineage: Eukaryota; Viridiplantae; Streptophyta; Magnoliopsida; Poales; Poaceae.
CCGGAACAAACCUAUUGACAAGAUGCCGAAGUGCCAGUUCCUGUUUUCUGCUGUUUUUGGUUUCAGAAAUCCUAGUAAGAAAAUAUUCUCGGAAUUAGACGAAAUCAACGCCCAGCAUCUUAUAAUUGCACGAAGCUUCCAGAACACCCGAGAGGAACCAGAGGGGGGCCACAGGGCCACCAGACAGUAGGGCGGCGCGGCCAAGGAGCCAGGCGCGCCGCCCUAGUGUGGGGAGCCCCCGUAACCCUUCCGACUCCGCCUCUUUGCCUAUAAGAAGCCCCCUGACCUAAAUCUUCGAUACGAAAAAGCCACGGUACGAGAAACCUUCCAGAGCCGCCGCCAUCGCGAAGCCAAGAUUCGGGGGACAGGAGUCUCUGUUCCGGCACGCCGCCGGGACGGGGAAGUGCCCCCGGAAGGCUUCUCCAUCGACACCACCGCCAUCUUCAUCAACGCUGCUGUCUCCCAUGAGGAGGGAGUAGUUCUCCCUCGAGGCUAAGGGUUGUACCGGCAGCUAUGUGGUUAAUCUCUCUCCUAUGUACUUCAAUACAAUGAUCUCAUGAGCUGCCUUACAUGAUUGAGAUUCAUAUGAGUUUUGUAUCACUAUUAGUCUAUGUGCUACUCUUGUGAUGUUAUUAAAGUAGUCUAUUCCUCCUUCACGGUGUAAUGGUGACAGUGUGUGCAUCGUGUAGUACUUGGCGUAGGUUAUGAUCAUAAUCUCUUGUAGGUUAUGAAGUUAAUUAUUACUAUGAUAGUAUUGAUGUGAUCUAUUUCCCCUUCAUA